This 255-nucleotide ribosomal RNA is filed under the name Bacillus licheniformis. RNAcentral's name for it is "partial 16S ribosomal RNA". It matches the Rfam family "Bacterial small subunit ribosomal RNA", at positions 346 to 592 of the family's 1533-position model. The record is from RNAcentral. RNAcentral also lists the same sequence under 1 other name. Lineage: Bacteria; Bacillati; Bacillota; Bacilli; Caryophanales; Bacillaceae.
AGGCAGCAGUAGGGAAUCUUCCGCAAUGGACGAAAGUCUGACGGAGCAACGCCGCGUGAGUGAUGAAGGUUUUCGGAUCGUAAAACUCUGUUGUUAGGGAAGAACAAGUACCGUUCGAAUAGGGCGGCACCUUGACGGUACCUAACCAGAAAGCCACGGCUAACUACGUGCCAGCAGCCGCGGUAAUACGUAGGUGGCAAGCGUUGUCCGGAAUUAUUGGGCGUAAAGCGCGCGCAGGCGGUUUCUUAAGUCUGA